GAGGAAGAGACGGCUAACUCUGUGCCAGCAGCCGCGGUAAUACAGAGGUCUCAAGCGUUGUUCGGAAUCACUGGGCGUAAAGGGUGCGUAGGCUGCGGCGUAAGUCAGAUGUGAAAUCCCGGGGCUCAACCUCGGAAUUGCAUCCGAUACUGCGUCGCUUGAGGACUGGAGAGGAGUCUGGAAUUCAUGGUGGAGCAGUGAAAUGCGUAGAUAUCAUGAGGAACGCUAGUGGCGUAGGCGAGACUCUGGACAGUUCCUGACGCUGAGGCACGAAGGCCAGGGGAGCAAACGGGAUUAGAUACCCCGGUAGUCCUGGCAGUAAACGGUGCACGUUUGGUGUGGGAGGAAUCGACCCCUUCCGUGCCGGAGCUAACGCGUUAAACGUGCCGCCUGGGAAGUACGGUCGCAAGAUUAAAACUCAAAGAAAUUGACGGGGA
RNAcentral lists this ribosomal RNA (437 nucleotides) under uncultured bacterium. RNAcentral describes it as "bacterial SSU rRNA". It matches the Rfam family "Bacterial small subunit ribosomal RNA", at positions 484 to 919 of the family's 1533-position model. The record is from RNAcentral.